This 507-nucleotide ribosomal RNA is filed under the name Cucujus clavipes (red flat bark beetle). Its description in RNAcentral is "partial 16S ribosomal RNA". The stretch from base 381 to 507 matches the Rfam family "Archaeal large subunit ribosomal RNA", at positions 2542 to 2669 of the family's 2987-position model. Lineage: Eukaryota; Metazoa; Arthropoda; Insecta; Coleoptera; Cucujidae. The record is from RNAcentral.
GUCCUAUAGAUAAUAUUUUUAGGUCUGUCCUGCCCACUGAUUUUAUUGAAUGGCCGCGGUAUUUUGACCGUGCAAAGGUAGCAUAAUCAUUAGUUUUUUUAUUGAAAGCUGGAAUGAAGGGAUGAAUGAGAAAAUUUCUGUCUCUAAUUAAAUAAUAGAAUUUUAUUUUUAAGUUAAAAAGCUUAAAUAAUUUUAAAAGACGAGAAGACCCUAUAGAGUUUAAUAAUUAAUAAUUUAUUUUUUUUUGGUUUUUAAAUUUAAUUUAUUUUUAAUUAUUUAGUUGGGGUGAUUGAAAAAUUUAUUUAACUUUUUUUAUAUUUAAACAAUUAUAUUUGAAUUUUUGAUCCGUUUAUAUGAUUAAAAGAAAUAAUUACCUUAGGGAUAACAGCGUAAUUUUUUUAGAGAGUUCUUAUCGAAAAAAAAGUUUGCGACCUCGAUGUUGGAUUAAAAUUUAAAUUUGGUGUAGAAGCUAAGUUUUUUAGUCUGUUCGACUAUUGAAAUUUUACA